CCUACGGGUGGCAGCAGUGGGGAAUAUUGCGCAAUGGGCGAAAGCCUGACGCAGCGACGCCGCGUGAGGGAUGAAGGUCCUCGGAUCGUAAACCUCUGUCAGCAGGGAAGAACGGUCACUGUGCUAAUCAGCAGUGAAUUGACGGUACCAGCAAAGGAAGCACAGGCGAACUCCGUUCACGCAGCUGCGGUAAGACGGCGGGUGCGAGCGUUAAUCGGAAUUACUGGGCGUAAAGGGCUCGUAGGCGGGAUGUCAAGUCAAGGGUGAAAUCCCCGCGCUCAAGGUGGGAACUGCCUUUGAAACUGGCGACCUGGAGUGUGUGAGAGGAUGGUGGAAUGCGAGGUGUAGGAGUG
This 353-nucleotide ribosomal RNA is filed under the name uncultured bacterium. RNAcentral describes it as "partial 16S ribosomal RNA". It matches the Rfam family "Bacterial small subunit ribosomal RNA", at positions 338 to 683 of the family's 1533-position model. The record is from RNAcentral.